CCCCAACCCCAGGAUUCCUAGCUGUCUCCACUUGGUGAUCAGCACUGAAUACAGGAGACUCACUAUGGAGUUUGGGCUGAGUUGGAUUUUCCUUGUUGCUAUUUUAAAAGGUGUCCAGUGUGAGGUGCAGCUGGUGGAGUCUGGGGGAGGUUUGGUCCAGCCUGGGGGGUCCCUGAGACUCUCCUGUGCAGCCUCUGGAUUCACCUUCAGUAGCUCUGCUAUGCACUGGGUCCGUCAGGCUCCUGGGAAAGGCCUAGAGUGGGUUGGACGUAUUAGAAGCAAAGCUAACAGUUACGCGACAGAAUACGCCGCGUCUGUGAAAGGCAGGUUCACCAUCUCCAGAGAUGAUUCAAAGAACACGGCGUAUCUGCAAAUGAACAGCCUGAAAACCGAGGACACGGCCCUGUAUUACUGUACUACAGACACACAGUGA
Pongo pygmaeus (Bornean orangutan) is the source of this 433-nucleotide non-coding RNA. Lineage: Eukaryota; Metazoa; Chordata; Mammalia; Primates; Hominidae. The record is from the annotation of a RefSeq genome assembly.